CCCUUAGAUGUUCUGGGCAGCACGCGCGCUACAAUGGUCUUCGCAAACGGAUGCAUUCUCGAAGGAGAAUGCCAAUCUUGGAAUCUAUGCCUUGGUCGGGACAGUUGCUUGCAAUUUUUCGACUCGAACCAGGAAUUCCUUGUAAUCGUGAUUCAUCACAUCACGAUGAAUACGUCCCUGCCCUUUGUACACACCGCCCGUCGCUCCUACCGAUUGAAUGUUCCGGUGAGCUCUUCGGACUGCGCGGUCUGCAGUUUCUGCGUUCCGUGCGGAAAGUUGCGCAAACCUUAACAUUUAGAGGAAGGAGAAGUCGUAACA
This 318-nucleotide ribosomal RNA is filed under the name uncultured eukaryote. RNAcentral's name for it is "partial 18S ribosomal RNA". It matches the Rfam family "Eukaryotic small subunit ribosomal RNA", at positions 1470 to 1796 of the family's 1831-position model. The record is from RNAcentral.